ACGGGUGAGUAACGCGUGGGAACAUACCCUUUCCUGCGGAAUAGCUCCGGGAAACUGGAAUUAAUACCGCAUACGCCCUACGGGGGAAAGAUUUAUCGGGGAAGGAUUGGCCCGCGUUGGAUUAGCUAGUUGGUGGGGUAAAGGCCUACCAAGGCGACGAUCCAUAGCUGGUCUGAGAGGAUGAUCAGCCACAUUGGGACUGAGACACGGCCCAAACUCCUACGGGAGGCAGCAGUGGGGAAUAUUGGACAAUGGGCGCAAGCCUGAUCCAGCCAUGCCGCGUGAGUGAUGAAGGCCUUAGGGUUGUAAAGCUCUUUCACCGAUGAAGAUAAUGACGGUAGUCGGAGAAGAAGCCCCGGCUAACUUCGUGCCAGCAGCCGCGGUAAUACGAAGGGGGCUAGCGUUGUUCGGAAUUACUGGGCGUAAAGCGCACGUAGGCGGAUAUUUAAGUCAGGGGUGAAAUCCCGCAGCUCAACUGCGGAACUGCCUUUGAUACUGGGUAUCUUGAGUAUGGAAGAGGUAAGUGGAAUUCCGAGUGUAGAGGUGAAAUUCGUAGA
This 557-nucleotide ribosomal RNA is filed under the name Rhizobium sp. HRTP159. Its description in RNAcentral is "bacterial SSU rRNA". It matches the Rfam family "Bacterial small subunit ribosomal RNA", at positions 102 to 694 of the family's 1533-position model. RNAcentral also lists the same sequence under 1 other name. Lineage: Bacteria; Pseudomonadati; Pseudomonadota; Alphaproteobacteria; Hyphomicrobiales; Rhizobiaceae. The record is from RNAcentral.